AAGGAAUCCUCCCCAUGAAGAGGUUGUUCCAUGUGACACAUGUUCUCCUUCCAAGUCAUGGAGUGGGGAAGCAGACUAGAUCACUAUCUCCCCUGCUCUACAUGGGCCCUGUUUGUCAGGUGACAUCAGGUGGCUUUUUUGCCCUAUGUAUGCCUUGCAGAAAACUUAGUGGAGGCCGUUGUGAAAAGCAGGUCAGCUUGGCUUGGACAAAAGGGUCACAUCGUCCAAAUGUGGAGGUCCAGGAGUAUAAAGUUUGCCACCUAUCGUAGAGAAUGACCAAGAGCACAAUGCAAGUACUAAUGUAAAUGCACUCCUUCCUUGAUCAGAUUUCAUAUUAUUUAGUGGAGGAUAUGUCUGCUAACUCCCUGGAAAAGACCCUGAUGUUGGGAAAGAUUGAGGGCAGAAGGAGAAGGGGACAGCAGAGGAUGAGAUGGUUGGACAGUGUUCUCGAAGCUACCAGCAUGAGUUUGACCAAACUGUGGGAGGCAGUGGAAGAUAGGAGUGCCUGGCGUGCUCUGGUCCAUGGGGUCACGAAGAGUCGGACACGACUAAACAACUAAACAAAACAACAACAUGUCUGCUAAGCCUGCAAAUUCGUUCAACAAUUAUUUGUUCCAUAAAAACUGCUAGCAUUUAAAUACUGGUCCUAAACUCUCUCUGUUUGUAAAUUCUCUUUCAGUUCAUGUAUGGCACAUUUCACCCAGAAGAGAGUAAUCCAGGUCAGGUCCCCUCCUUUUACCGCAUGGUCCCCACUGAAGCCCCACAAUAUAUGGGGAUUGUCUGGCUACUUCAGCAUUUUGGAUGGACAUGGGUUGGACUCUUUGUUGUAGAUGGUGCCACUGGAGAAAAUUUCCUGCAGACCCUGGAACACUACUUUUCCCUGCAUAAUGUAUGUUCAGCUUUCACACAGAGACUCCCAGAACAAGCAAGUCUGAAGGACUUAGAUGCUUUUCCUUUCAUUAUCUCAAAUAUAUAUGUACAUUACAUUAAAACUACAGUUAGUGUUUUCAUUUUGUAUGGAGAAAAUUUAACAUUUACAUGGCUGAUGACUGUUUUCUUUUUUUUGGGAGACCCUCACAAGGGAAAAACCACGUUGUUGGGAAAGGUGUGGAUUAUGACAACCCAGAUUGAUUUUAUGUUAUCAGGCCUUCAAAGAACCAUGGAUUUACAGCAGUUCGAUGGUGCCAUUUCUUUCACCAUUCAUUCAAAAGACCCCCCAGGCUUCAAAGAAUUUCUCCAAAACAUUAAACCGUACAAGAACAAAGGAGAUGGUUUUCUCAAAGAUUUUUGGGAGCAAGCAUUUGACUGUUCCCUUCCCAAUCCUGGCAUACCAACAGAAAAAAGUUGUACGGGAGAGGAAAGUCUUGAGAGUCUUCCUGAUGCUCUCUUUGAAAUGCACAUGACGGGCCACAGCUACAGCAUCUACAAUGCUGUGUAUAGUGUAGCACAUGCACUGCAUGUUAUUGACACAUCCAGAACCAAUCACAAAGGAAUAUUGGCUAGCAAAAAAUCUGAACUUCAGCAUCUCAAGCCUUGGCAGGUAGUGUCUCAAAGUUCGUUUGUUUUCAUUAUUAUCAUUUCACUGAAUGUACUAUUGCAAAAUGCCAAUGCAUAUUAAAUCAGGAACUUAUUGCAAAGGCAUACACAAACAACUUGAAUGGGCAGAGGGUGUUCCUCAAGGACCUGGGUCCAAAGAUCUUUAUCGCUUUCCAUCUUAUUUAUAAAAACUCAAGUUCAAGAUGGAAACAAAUUGGCAGCUUGUGCAGGUCUCUAAGAGUGAAUGUAUGAGGGUCCCAUCCUACUUAUAAAGGUGGAAAUACCUUAUCAAGAUUCAGAUUCCAUUUAUUCACCCUUGUCAAGUAGAUCACAGAGGCCUGUUGCAUGUUCCAAAUUCUCCUGGUCUCAACUGAGAAAUUGAGCUAGGUGUCAUCUACAGCUCAUGUGCAAAAUACCUGUCAUAAAAUAUUUGUUUGAAGUCUCCAAAAUAUUAUUAUCUCUUUGGAAUUUAUUGUUUUUCUUCUUUCUGUUAGCUCUACCCAUUUCUUCAAGGCAUUUCUUUUAACAACUCAGUUGGAGAAGCAAUGUUCUUCAAUGAUGAAAGGGAAGUAGAAGGAGGAUUUGACAUUGUGAACAUAGUCACAUAUAAAAACAGGUCAUUCCAGAGAGUGAAAGCUGGAAGUGUGCAUCCCAAAGACCUCGGAGGAAAAGAAUUCAUCAUUAAUGAAGAUAUAAUAAUGUGGCACAGAACAUUUAACCAGGUGGGAAGUUAGGGUACACUUUGAAGAAAUAUAUAGUAGGGUUCAGUGGGAUCUAGAUGCAAAUCUUUUAUGCCCCGCCAGUCACUUUUCUCAACUGGAAGACAACCUCAGACUACUUACGUUUUGAUGUUUGUUUGUUUGUGUUUUUUUAAAAAGUUCAGUUCUAAACACAUUUCCUGUUUAUUGAUAGAUGCUUCCUGUUUCUGUGUGUAAUGACUACUGCCCCCCUGGUUAUCAGAAGAAAAGGAAGGAAGGGGAUAAAUUUUGCUGCUAUGACUGUGAGCAAUGCCCUGAUGGGAAGAUUUCAAACCAGAUUGGUAGGUGACUUUUUCCAUUGUACGGGGUUGAAUAAUUCAGAAUAAUUCUGGAACACUAUUUUCAAUAGUUAAAUUAUCUUUGUUACAAUAUAGUGCCCUGGCUAGCCAGUCAGUCCUGGAAUCAGACUGGUCCCAGAAAUCUUUCAGAAAUUAAGAGUGCAAGAAGCAUUCAAACCUAGACAAAGUUUCUUGACACAAGGAAAACCCACUUAACUUAGUGGGAUGUCUGAGUAAAGAUACAAUUUUGAUUGCUGUGAAUAUCCAUGACUUAUUAAUGAAUUCGAAUCAAAAUAAGAUCUGUUUCUAUAUUUCAGACAUGAGCUACUGUUUGAACUGCCCAAAACAUCAAUAUUCCAACAUGAAGAGAGACGGAUGCAACCCAAAAAUAAAAAGCUUUCUGUCUUAUGAAGAACCUUUAGGGAUCAGUUUAGCCUCCCUUGCUAUUUCUUUUUCCUUGAUUACAGUGUGGGUGUUCGGAAUCUUUAUUAAGCACAGAGAUACCCCCAUUGUCAAAGCCAACAACAGGGACCUCACCUACACUCUCCUGGUCUCCCUUUUGCUCUGUUUCCUCUCAUCUUUGAUGUUCCUGGGCAAAUCUGGGAAAGUGACCUGUCUUCUUCGUCAGCCAUCUUUUGGCAUCGUCUUCUCAGUGGCUGUUUCUUGCGUGCUGGCAAAGACUACCAUUGUUUCUUUAGCAUUCAUGGCCACAAAGCCCGGAUCCAGAAUGAAGAAAUGGGUGGGGGGGAACCUGUCCAACUCUAUUGUCCUUUCCUGCUCUCUUAUUCAAGCC
Non-coding RNA from Podarcis lilfordi (Lilford's wall lizard), 3365 nucleotides. The record is from the annotation of a GenBank genome assembly. NCBI's taxonomy places the organism in Eukaryota, Metazoa, Chordata, Lepidosauria, Squamata, Lacertidae.